UACGUAGGGGGCAAGCGUUAUCCGGAAUUACUGGGUGUAAAGGGAGCGUAGACGGUAAUGUAAGUCUGGAGUGAAAGGCGGGGGCCCAACCCCCGGACUGCUCUGGAAACUAUGUCACUAGAGUGCAGGAGAGGUAAGCGGAAUUCCUAGUGUAGCGGUGAAAUGCGUAGAUAUUAGGAGGAACACCAGUGGCGAAGGCGGCUUACUGGACAGUAACUGACGUUGAGGCUCGAAAGCGUGGGGAGCAAACAGG
This 253-nucleotide ribosomal RNA is filed under the name uncultured bacterium. Its description in RNAcentral is "partial 16S ribosomal RNA". It matches the Rfam family "Bacterial small subunit ribosomal RNA", at positions 524 to 776 of the family's 1533-position model. The record is from RNAcentral.